Molecule: ribosomal RNA, 253 nt
Filed under: uncultured bacterium
Lineage: Bacteria
Description: partial 16S ribosomal RNA
Rfam family: Bacterial small subunit ribosomal RNA
Source: RNAcentral
UACGGAGGGUGCAAGCGUUAUCCGGAUUUAUUGGGUUUAAAGGGUCCGUAGGCGGACUAUUAAGUCAGCGGUGAAAGCCCUCUGCUCAACAGAGGAACUGCCGUUGAUACUGAUAGUCUUGAGUACAAGUGAGGUCGGCGGAAUGUGUGGUGUAGCGGUGAAAUGCUUAGAGAUUGGAAAGAACACCGAUGGCGAAGGCACUUUACUGGGCUAUUACUAACACUCAGAGACGAAAGCUAGGGUAGCAAAUGGG